AGGAUAAACGCUGGCGGCGUGCCUAACACAUGCAAGUCGAACGCGCUUGCUAUCCGCGAGGAGGGUGAGCGAGUGGCGGACGGGUGAGGAACACGUGGGUGACCUACCUUUCAGUGAGGGAUACCGGCGAGAAAUUGCCGACAAGACCGCAUACGCUUCUCUUUUCAAGGGGAGAAGGAAAGCUUUUCGCAAGAGAGGCGCUGGGAGAUGGGCCUGCGGCCGAUUAGCUAGCUGGUGGGGUAAUGGCCUACCAGGGCGACGAUCGGUAGCUGGUCUGAGAGGACGAUCAGCCACACUGGGAUUGAGAACGGCCCAGACUCCUACGGGGGGCAGCAGUGAGGAAUUUUCGGCAAUGGGGGCAACCCUGACCGAGCAACGCCGCGUGCAGGACGACGGCCUUCGGGUUGUAAACUGCUUUUCUCUGGGACGAGCAAGGACGGUACCAGAGGAGGAAGCCCCGGCUAACUACGUGCCAGCAGCCGCGGU
This 486-nucleotide ribosomal RNA is filed under the name uncultured bacterium. RNAcentral describes it as "SSU rRNA". It matches the Rfam family "Bacterial small subunit ribosomal RNA", at positions 26 to 521 of the family's 1533-position model. The record is from RNAcentral.